Non-coding RNA from Gossypium hirsutum (cotton), 127 nucleotides. The record is from Rfam. NCBI's taxonomy places the organism in Eukaryota, Viridiplantae, Streptophyta, Magnoliopsida, Malvales, Malvaceae.
UAUUAAAAAUUUCAUCCAUCUAUUGUUAAAAACUGGUGUGAAUAAUUACAUGUAACGUGUUUCAUGUACCUUGUGCUGGCAUAUAAUGACCAAUUUUUAGCAAUAGAAUUAAAUAGAAUUUUUAACA